ACGAACGCUGGCGGCGUGCCUCAUACAUGCAAGUCGAGCGGACGGAUGGGAGCUUGCUCCCAGACCGUCAGCGGCGGACGGGUGAGUAACACGUGGGCAACCUGCCUGUAAGACUGGGAUAACUCCGGGAAACCGGGGCUAAUACCGGAUAACUCUUUCCCUCACAUGAGGGAAAGCUGAAAGAUGGCAUCUCGCUAUCACUUACAGAUGGGCCCGCGGCGCAUUAGCUAGUUGGUGAGGUAACGGCUCACCAAGGCGACGAUGCGUAGCCGACCUGAGAGGGUGAUCGGCCACACUGGGACUGAGACACGGCCCAGACUCCUACGGGAGGCAGCAGUAGGGAAUCUUCCGCAAUGGACGAAAGUCUGACGGAGCAACGCCGCGUGAGUGAUGAAGGUUUUCGGAUCGUAAAACUCUGUUGUCAGGGAAGAACAAGUACCGGAGUAACUGCCGGUACCUUGACGGUACCUGACCAGAAAGCCACGGCUAACUACGUG
RNAcentral lists this ribosomal RNA (497 nucleotides) under uncultured bacterium. RNAcentral describes it as "partial 16S ribosomal RNA". It matches the Rfam family "Bacterial small subunit ribosomal RNA", at positions 29 to 507 of the family's 1533-position model. The record is from RNAcentral.